This 491-nucleotide ribosomal RNA is filed under the name uncultured bacterium. RNAcentral describes it as "partial 16S ribosomal RNA". It matches the Rfam family "Bacterial small subunit ribosomal RNA", at positions 29 to 507 of the family's 1533-position model. The record is from RNAcentral.
GUGAACGCUGGCGGUAGGCCUAACCCAUGCAAGUCGAACGGCAGCACAGUAAGAGCUUGCUCUUACGGGUGGCGAGUGGCGGACGGGUGAGGAAUACAUCGGAAUCUACUUUUUCGUGGGGGAUAACGUAGGGAAACUUACGCUAAUACCGCAUACGACCUACGGGUGAAAGCAGGGGAUCUUCGGACCUUGCGCGAUUGCAUGAGCCGAUGUCGGAUUAGCUAGUUGGCGGGGUAAAGGCCCACCAAGGCGACGAUCCGUAGCUGGUCUGAGAGGAUGAUCAGCCACACGGGAACUGAGAAACGGUCCAGACUCCUACGGGAGGCAGCAGUGGGGAAUAUUGGACAAUGGGCGCAAGCCUGAUCCAGCCAUACCGCGUGGGUGAAGAAGGCCUUCGGGUUGUAAAGCCCUUUUGUUGGGAAAGAAAAGCAGAAGGUUAAUACCCCGCUGUUCUGACGGUACCAAAAGAAUAAGCACCGGCUAACUUCGUG